This 445-nucleotide ribosomal RNA is filed under the name uncultured bacterium. RNAcentral's name for it is "partial 16S ribosomal RNA". It matches the Rfam family "Bacterial small subunit ribosomal RNA", at positions 330 to 792 of the family's 1533-position model. The record is from RNAcentral.
ACCAGACUCCUACGGGAGGCAGCAGUGGGGGAUAUUGCACAAUGGGGGGAACCCUGAUGCAGCGACGCCGCGUGGGUGAAGAAGCGCCUCGGCGCGUAAAGCCCUGUCAGCAGGGAAGAAAAUGACGGUACCUGAAGAAGAAGCCCCGGCUAACUACGUGCCAGCAGCCGCGGUAAUACGUAGGGGGCAAGCGUUAUCCGGAUUUACUGGGUGUAAAGGGGGCGCAGACGGCGAUGCAAGCCAGGAGUGAAAGCCCGGGGCCCAACCCCGGGACUGCUCUUGGAACUGCGUGGCUGGAGUGCAGGAGGGGCAGGCGGAAUUCCUGGUGUAGCGGUGAAAUGCGUAGAUAUCAGGAGGAACACCGGUGGCGAAGGCGGCCUGCUGGACUGCAACUGACGCUGAGGCGCGAAAGCGUGGGGAGCAAACAGGAUUAGAUACCCCAGUA